RNAcentral lists this ribosomal RNA (378 nucleotides) under uncultured bacterium. RNAcentral describes it as "bacterial SSU rRNA". It matches the Rfam family "Bacterial small subunit ribosomal RNA", at positions 521 to 896 of the family's 1533-position model. The record is from RNAcentral.
UAAGACAGAGGCCCCGAGCGUUAGGCGGAAUCACUGGGCUUAAAGCGUGUGUAGGCGGACGCCUAAGUACCUCGGUGAAAUCCCACGGCUCACCCGUGGAACGGCUGGGUAUACUGGGCGUCUUGGGCCACUUAGGGGCGACCGGAACAAGCGGUGGAGCGGUGAAAUGCGUAGAUAUCGCUUGGAACGCCGACGGUGAAAACAGGUCGCUGGGAGUGCGCCGACGCUGAGACACGAAAGCCAGGGGAGCGAACGGGAUUAGAUACCCCGGUAGUCCUGGCCCUAAACGAUGUCCACUAGAUCGCGGCGGGUUUGACCCCGUCGCGGUCGGAGCAAAAGUGUUAAGUGGACCGCCUGGGAAGUACGGUCGCAAGGCUA